UACGUAGGUGGCAAGCGUUAUCCGGAUUUACUGGGUGUAAAGGGAGCGUAGACGGUAUGGCAAGUCUGAUGUGAAAACCCGGGGCUCAACCCCGGGACUGCAUUGGAAACUGUCGGACUAGAGUGUCGGAGAGGCAAGUGGAAUUCCUAGUGUAGCGGUGAAAUGCGUAGAUAUUAGGAGGAACACCAGUGGCGAAGGCGGCUUGCUGGACGAUGACUGACGUUGAGGCUCGAAAGCGUGGGGAGCAAACAGG
RNAcentral lists this ribosomal RNA (253 nucleotides) under uncultured bacterium. Its description in RNAcentral is "partial 16S ribosomal RNA". It matches the Rfam family "Bacterial small subunit ribosomal RNA", at positions 524 to 776 of the family's 1533-position model. The record is from RNAcentral.